Transfer RNA from Penicillium griseofulvum, 72 nucleotides. It matches the Rfam family "tRNA". Rfam says of the family: Transfer RNA (tRNA) molecules are approximately 80 nucleotides in length. Their secondary structure includes four short double-helical elements and three loops (D, anti-codon, and T loops). The record is from Rfam. NCBI's taxonomy places the organism in Eukaryota, Fungi, Ascomycota, Eurotiomycetes, Eurotiales, Aspergillaceae.
GCAGUGGUGGCACAGUGGUAGCGCGUGAGAUUGCAAAUCUCAAGGUCCCGCGUUCGAAUCGCGGUCAUUGCU